Molecule: ribosomal RNA, 468 nt
Filed under: uncultured bacterium
Lineage: Bacteria
Description: partial 16S ribosomal RNA
Rfam family: Bacterial small subunit ribosomal RNA
Source: RNAcentral
GACGAACGCUGGCGGCGUGCUUAACACAUGCAAGUCGAACGGCAAGGCACUGCGUUUGUGGGGUGCUCGAGUGGCGAACGGGGGCGUAAGACGUGUGUAACCUGCCCUUGUCUUUCGGAUAAAUUAAGGAGACUGAGGCUAAUAACUGAUAGAAGCUCCUGAUGCGUGGUGGGGGUUGGAAAGUGUCGGUGGUUGGGGAUAGUCACGCGGCGUAUCAGCUGGUUGUUGGGGUAGUGGAUUACCAAGGCUUUGACGGGUAGCCGGCCUGCGAGGGUGACCAGCCACAUGAGGACUGCGAUACGGCCCAGACGCCUACGGGAGGCAGCAGUGGGGAAUAUGGCACAAUGAGCGGAAGCCUGAUGCAGCAACGCCGCGUUCGGGAUGACGGCCUUCGGGGUGUAAACCGCUUUCGCCUGUGACGAAGCGUUAGUGACGGUAAUGAGUAAAGAAGCACCGGCUAACUACGUG